UACGAAGGGGGCUAGCGUUGCUCGGAAUCACUGGGCGUAAAGGGUGCGUAGGCGGGUCUUAAGUCAGGGGUGAAAUCCUGGAGCUCAACUCCAGAACUGCCUUUGAUACUGAAGAUCUUGAGUUCGGGAGAGGUGAGUGGAACUGCGAAGUGUAGAGGUGAAAUUCGUAGAUAUUCGCAAGAACACCAGUGGCGAAGGCGGCUAUCUGGACGGUUUCUGACACUAAGACUCGAAGGCGUGGGGAGGCAAACAGG
RNAcentral lists this ribosomal RNA (254 nucleotides) under uncultured bacterium. Its description in RNAcentral is "partial 16S ribosomal RNA". It matches the Rfam family "Bacterial small subunit ribosomal RNA", at positions 524 to 776 of the family's 1533-position model. The record is from RNAcentral.